Long non-coding RNA from Sander lucioperca (pikeperch), 289 nucleotides. RefSeq lists it as uncharacterized. The transcript is spliced from 3 exons. The record is from RefSeq and is a predicted model, not a curated record. Lineage: Eukaryota; Metazoa; Chordata; Actinopteri; Perciformes; Percidae.
CCUCCACACAGGAGACCCACUGAAGACGAGACAGAGGACAGAUCUGAGAGGACCACAGGAGACCGAUUAAUAUCCUAAAAUGCAUCGUGGGUUCCUGUUCUUCCUGUCUGUGGCGUUGUGGGUGGAGCUUGUAGCCGGUGCGGCGUUACGGAUGGACACCGGCAUGCAGAGCAGCAUCGAGUCUCUACAGGCGGCGCUGCAGAGCUGCAGCGACAUCAUCAACAACUCGGACUACCUGAGAGAUGUGUCGGCCCCGCCCUGCACAGAGACCGCCGCUAACAUGGAACAG